UAAUACGAAGGGUGCAAGCGUUAAUCGGAAUUACUGGGCGUAAAGCGCGCGUAGGUGGUUUGUUAAGUUGAAUGUGAAAGCCCCGGGCUCAACCUGGGAAUUGCAUUCAAAACUGCUUGGCUAGAGUGCGAGAGAGGAGAGUAGAAUUUCUGGUGUAGCGGUGAAAUGCGUAGAUAUCAGAAGGAAUACCAAUGGCGUAGGCAGCUCUCUGGCUCGUCACUGACGCUAAGGUGCGAAAGCGUGGGUAGCAAACAGGAUUAGAUACCCUGGUAGUCCACGCCGUAAACGAUGAGAACUAGCCGUUGGAGGGAAUUAACUCUUCGGUGGCGCAGCUAACGCAUUAAGUUCUCCGCCUGGGGACUACGGCCGCAAGGCUA
Molecule: ribosomal RNA, 377 nt
Filed under: uncultured Gammaproteobacteria bacterium
Lineage: Bacteria; Pseudomonadati; Pseudomonadota; Gammaproteobacteria
Description: bacterial SSU rRNA
Rfam family: Bacterial small subunit ribosomal RNA
Source: RNAcentral